UCCUUGGUGGCUUGGAGAGUAAAGCAUCUGCCUGCAAUGCAGGAGACCUGGGUUCAAUCCCUGGGUCGGGAA
This 72-nucleotide transfer RNA is filed under the name Capra hircus (goat). It matches the Rfam family "tRNA". From Rfam's summary of the family: Transfer RNA (tRNA) molecules are approximately 80 nucleotides in length. Their secondary structure includes four short double-helical elements and three loops (D, anti-codon, and T loops). RNAcentral also lists the same sequence under 1 other name. The record is from Rfam by way of RNAcentral. Lineage: Eukaryota; Metazoa; Chordata; Mammalia; Artiodactyla; Bovidae.